This 269-nucleotide ribosomal RNA is filed under the name uncultured prokaryote. Its description in RNAcentral is "partial 16S ribosomal RNA". It matches the Rfam family "Bacterial small subunit ribosomal RNA", at positions 524 to 792 of the family's 1533-position model. The record is from RNAcentral.
UACGUAGGUGGCAAGCGUUGUCCGGAAUUAUUGGGCGUAAAGAGCGCGCAGGUGGUUGAUUAAGUCUGAUGUGAAAGCCCACGGCUUAACCGUGGAGGGUCAUUGGAAACUGGUCGACUUGAGUGCAGAAGAGGGAAGUGGAAUUCCAUGUGUAGCGGUGAAAUGCGUAGAGAUAUGGAGGAACACCAGUGGCGAAGGCGGCUUCCUGGUCUGUAACUGACACUGAGGCGCGAAAGCGUGGGGAGCAAACAGGAUUAGAUACCCGGGUA